GUGGGGAAUAUUGGACAAUGGGGGGAACCCUGAUCCAGCCAUGCCGCGUGUGUGAAGAAGGCCUUUUGGUUGUAAAGCACUUUAAGCGAGGAGGAGGCUACCGAGAUUAAUACUCUUGGAUAGUGGACGUUACUCGCAGAAUAAGCACCGGCUAACUCUGUGCCAGCAGCCGCGGUAAUACAGAGGGUGCAAGCGUUAAUCGGAUUUACUGGGCGUAAAGCGCGCGUAGGUGGCCAAUUAAGUCAAAUGUGAAAUCCCCGUGCUUAACUUGGGAAUUGCAUUCGAUACUGGUUGGCUAGAGUAUGGGAGAGGAUGGUAGAAUUCCAGGUGUAGCGGUGAAAUGCGUAGAGAUCUGGAGGAAUACCGAUGGCGAAGGCAGCCAUCUGGCCUAAUACUGACACUGAGGUGCGAAAGCAUGGGGAGCAAACAGGAUUAGAUACCCGAGUAGUCC
RNAcentral lists this ribosomal RNA (451 nucleotides) under uncultured bacterium. Its description in RNAcentral is "partial 16S ribosomal RNA". It matches the Rfam family "Bacterial small subunit ribosomal RNA", at positions 354 to 796 of the family's 1533-position model. The record is from RNAcentral.